This 497-nucleotide ribosomal RNA is filed under the name uncultured bacterium. Its description in RNAcentral is "partial 16S ribosomal RNA". It matches the Rfam family "Bacterial small subunit ribosomal RNA", at positions 28 to 507 of the family's 1533-position model. The record is from RNAcentral.
GAUGAACGCUGGCGGCGUGCCUAAUACAUGCAAGUCGAGCGAACAGACGAGGAGCUUGCUCCUCUGACGUUAGCGGCGGACGGGUGAGUAACACGUGGAUAACCUACCUAUAAGACUGGGAUAACUUCGGGAAACCGGAGCUAAUACCGGAUAAUAUAUUGAACCGCAUGGUUCAAUAGUUAAAGACGGUUUUGCUGUCACUUAUAGAUGUAUCCGCGCCGCAUUAGCUAGUUGGUAAGGUAACGGCUUACCAAGGCAACGAUGCGUAGCCGACCUGAGAGGGUGAUCGGCCACACUGGAACUGAGACACGGUCCAGACUCCUACGGGAGGCAGCAGUAGGGAAUCUUCCGCAAUGGGCGAAAGCCUGACGGAGCAACGCCGCGUGAGUGAUGAAGGUCUUCGGAUCGUAAAACUCUGUUAUUAGGGAAGAACAAAUGUGUAAGUAACUAUGCACGUCUUGACGGUACCUAAUCAGAAAGCCACGGCUAACUACGUG